RNAcentral lists this ribosomal RNA (230 nucleotides) under uncultured bacterium. RNAcentral's name for it is "partial 16S ribosomal RNA". It matches the Rfam family "Bacterial small subunit ribosomal RNA", at positions 103 to 334 of the family's 1533-position model. The record is from RNAcentral.
CGGGUGGAGGUAAUGUACUGGAACUGGACCUGAUGGAGGGGGAUAACUACUGGAAACGGGGGCUAAUACCGCAUGACGUCGCAAGACCAAAGAGGGGACCUUCGGGCCUCUUGCCAUCGGAUGUGCCCAGAUGGGAUUAGCUAGUAGGUGGGGUAACGGCUCACCUAGGCGACGAUCCCUAGCUGGUCUGAGAGGAUGACCAGCCACACUGGAACUGAGACACGGUCCAG